Molecule: ribosomal RNA, 465 nt
Filed under: uncultured bacterium
Lineage: Bacteria
Description: partial 16S ribosomal RNA
Rfam family: Bacterial small subunit ribosomal RNA
Source: RNAcentral
CCUACGGGAGGCAGCAGUGGGGAAUAUUGCGCAAUGGGCGAAAGCCUGACGCAGCGACGCCGCGUGAGGGAUGAAGGUCUUCGGAUCGUAAACCUCUGUCAGCAGGGAAGAACGGUCACUGUGCUAAUCAGCAGUGAAUUGACGGUACCUGCAAAGGCAGCACCGGCUAACUCCGUGCCAGCAGCCGCGGUAAUACGGAGGGUGCGAGCGUUAAUCGGAAUUACUGGGCGUAAAGCGCUCGUAGGCGGUAUGUCAAGUCAAGGGUGAAAGCCCCGCGCUCAACGUGGGAACUGCAUUUGAAACUGGGAAACUGGAGUGUGUGAGAGGAUAGUGGAAGUCCAGGUGUAGCAGUGAAAUCCGUAGAUAUCUGGAGGAACAUCAGUGGCGAAGGCGACUAUCUGGCACAUAACUGACGCUGAGGAGCGAAAGCGUGGGUAGCGAACAGGAUUAGAUACCCGGGUAGUC